Pseudonaja textilis is the source of this 237-nucleotide non-coding RNA. The record is from RefSeq and is a predicted model, not a curated record. Lineage: Eukaryota; Metazoa; Chordata; Lepidosauria; Squamata; Elapidae.
GACCAAUUACUAUCAAUUCAGGACAUUAAGAAAAAUAAACUACUGUAGUUGAUUUUUUUCUAAAAUGUCUGAAGACAGUCCAUCCAUUUGCAGUCUCUCCUAAGACAAUGUAAGAUUGUUCUGCAGGGAUGUUCUUAUAAAAUUGCAACAUCCAUAAAGUUUACAGCAUCAACCAGCUCUAAACUUUGCAACGCCUAGAGAAGAGAAGGAAGUAAACCUCUGAGCCUGGUGGGAUUC